RNAcentral lists this ribosomal RNA (1145 nucleotides) under uncultured Lysobacteraceae bacterium. RNAcentral's name for it is "bacterial SSU rRNA". It matches the Rfam family "Bacterial small subunit ribosomal RNA", at positions 46 to 1178 of the family's 1533-position model. Lineage: Bacteria; Pseudomonadati; Pseudomonadota; Gammaproteobacteria; Lysobacterales; Lysobacteraceae. The record is from RNAcentral.
GCCUAACACAUGCAAGUCGAACGGCAGCACAGGGGAGCUUGCUCCCUGGGUGGCGAGUGGCGGACGGGUGAGUAAUACAUCGGGACCUACCCAUGACGUGGGGGAUAACCUCGGGAAACCGGGACUAAUACCGCAUACGUCCUACGGGAGAAAGCGGGGGACCUUCGGGCCUCGCGCGUCUGGACGGACCGAUGUUCGAUUAGCUAGUUGGUGGGGUAAAGGCCUACCAAGGCUGCGAUCGAUAGCUGGUCUGAGAGGAUGAUCAGCCACAUUGGGACUGAGACACGGCCCAAACUCCUACGGGAGGCAGCAGUGGGGAAUAUUGGACAAUGGGCGCAAGCCUGAUCCAGCAAUGCCGCGUGUGUGAAGAAGGCCUUCGGGUUGUAAAGCACUUUUAUCAGGAGCGAAAUCGGCAAGGUUAAUAACCGUGUCGUCUGACGGUACCUGAGGAAUAAGCACCGGCUAACUUCGUGCCAGCAGCCGCGGUAAUACGAAGGGUGCAAGCGUUAAUCGGAAUUACUGGGCGUAAGGUGUGCGUAGGCGGGUUAGUUAAGUCUGUUGUGAAAUCCCCGGGCUCAACCUGGGAAUGGCAAUGGAUACUGGCUGACUAGUUGCGGUCAGAGGAUGGUGGAAUUCCCGGUGUAGCGGUGAAAUGCGUAGAGAUCGGGAGAACAUCAGUGGCGAAGGCGCCAUCUGGGACAACCACUGACGCUGAAGCACGAAAGCGUGGGGAGCAAACAGGAUUAGAUACCCUGGUAGUCCACGCCCUAAACGAUGCGAACUGGACGUUGGUCUCAACUCGGAGAUCAGUGUCGAAGCUAACGCGUUAAGUUCGCCGCCUGGGGAGUACGGUCGCAAGACUGAAACUCAAAGGAAUUGACGGGGGCCCGCACAAGCGGUGGAGUAUGUGGUUUAAUUCGAUGCAACGCGAAGAACCUUACCUGGCCUUGACAUGUCGCGAAUCCUGCAGAGAUGCGGGAGUGCCUUCGGGAAUGCGAACACAGGUGCUGCAUGGCUGUCGUCAGCUCGUGUCGUGAGAUGUUGGGUUAAGUCCCGCAACGAGCGCAACCCUUGUCCUUAGUUGCCAGCACGUUAUGGUGGGAACUCUAAGGAGACUGCCGGUGACAAACCGGAGGAAGGUGGGG